AGAUUUAAAAAUGCAGCAGCUGCUACUGGAGCUCCAAGAACAGAUGUGAGAAGGAACAAGAACCACAUCGUGAGAAGGAUGUCUUUAAGUCAUGCUGCAGGAGAAGAUACGUGUUAACGCUGAGGAGUUAAAACAGCAACAGACAUGUUUUACAAAAAAAAAAAAAAAAACCCUGAAUGAUCUGAGGCAAAUGCAAUAAUCCCUCAAGCCUUGGGAUGGUUUAAAAACUUUAAUCUCAAAUUUCACUCAUAAAUGCAUGGCCACAGGGAGAGAAAUUUUCAGAUAAAAAAACACACUUGGAAGCAUUGAAGACUCCACAACCUUAUCAGUGAUGCAGGGAGAGGUUUAAAAUUUGAAGUUUCAAGCAAAAUUUUUCUUUUUUUUAUGUAAAUGUAAAGAAAGUUCUUCUUUCAGCUGCACAUUUGAAGAUGAAUGUCACAGAAAGCUUUGCUGAGAAAGUAAACAACUAAAACCAAACGAAGAAUUAACCGAAAGAAAAUUUAUAGACGUUAAAAUACUAAUGUUAGUUUAGAAAUCACUGAAAUACAUUAAAGAUCUGUUGUUGUUGUUGUUGUAUCAACCUUCCAGACCUCUCAGGUUCUGGUUCUGAUCUGAAGAACCAGAACCAGAACCAAACAUGGUGAAGCAGCAUCCAGCUUCCACAAAUUAGGAACAAACUUCCUUAAAACUUCAAAACAGCUGAAACCCUGAGUUCCUUUAAAUAAAGCCUAAAAACUCACCUCCUUUGAUUAGUAAAGUCAUUGAUCAAUUUAUUUGACAUGUAUU
Molecule: long non-coding RNA, 786 nt
Organism: Poecilia latipinna (sailfin molly)
Lineage: Eukaryota; Metazoa; Chordata; Actinopteri; Cyprinodontiformes; Poeciliidae
Exons: 2
Source: RefSeq, a predicted model, not a curated record